CCUACGGGCGGCAGCAGUGGGGGAUAUUGCACAAUGGGGGAAACCCUGAUGCAGCGACGCCGCGUGAGUGAAGAAGUAUUUCGGUAUGUAAAGCUCUAUCAGCAGGGAAGAAAAUGACAGUACCUGACCCAGAAGCUCCGGCUAACUACGUACCAGCAGCCGCGGUAAUACGUAGGGGCCAAGCGUUAUCCGGAUUUACUGGGUGGAAAGGGAGCGUAGACGGUUAUGUAAGUCUGGAGUGAAAGCCCGGGGCACAACCCCGGGACUGCUUUGGAAACUGUGUAACUGGAGUACAGGAGGGGAAGGCGGAAUUCCUGGUGUAGCGGUGAAAUGCGUAGAUAUCAGGAGGAACACCGGCGGCGAAGGCGGGCUGCUGGACUGAAACUGACGUUGAGGCUCGAAAGCGUGGGGAGCAAACAGGAUUAGAUACCCCUGUAGUC
RNAcentral lists this ribosomal RNA (440 nucleotides) under uncultured bacterium. RNAcentral's name for it is "partial 16S ribosomal RNA". It matches the Rfam family "Bacterial small subunit ribosomal RNA", at positions 338 to 795 of the family's 1533-position model. The record is from RNAcentral.